RNAcentral lists this ribosomal RNA (446 nucleotides) under uncultured bacterium. RNAcentral describes it as "partial 16S ribosomal RNA". It matches the Rfam family "Bacterial small subunit ribosomal RNA", at positions 338 to 795 of the family's 1533-position model. The record is from RNAcentral.
CCUACGUGAGGCAGCAGUCGAGAAUCAUUCACAAUGGGGGAAACCCUUAUGGUGCGCCGCCGCGUGGGGGAAUGAAGGUCUUCGGAUUGUAAACCCCUGUCAUGUGGGCGCAAAUUAAAAAGAUAGUACCACAAGAGGAAGAGACGGCUAACUCUGUGCCAGCAGCCGCGGUAAUACAGAGGUCUCAAGCGUUGUUCGGAAUCACUUGGCGUAAAGCGUACGUAGGUGGUUUCGUAAGUCGUGUGUGAAAGGCGCGGGCUCAACCCGCGGACGGCACAUGAUACUGCGAGACUAGAGUAAUGGAGGGGGAACCGGAAUUCUCGGUGUAGCAGUGAAAUGCGUAGAUAUCGAGAGGAACACUCGUGGCGAAGGCGGGUUCCUGGACAUUAACUGACGCUGAGGCACGAAGGCCAGGGGAGCGAAAGGGAUUAGAUACCCGGGUAGUC